RNAcentral lists this ribosomal RNA (544 nucleotides) under Bifidobacterium breve. Its description in RNAcentral is "bacterial SSU rRNA". It matches the Rfam family "Bacterial small subunit ribosomal RNA", at positions 158 to 711 of the family's 1533-position model. The record is from RNAcentral. Lineage: Bacteria; Bacillati; Actinomycetota; Actinomycetes; Bifidobacteriales; Bifidobacteriaceae.
GGGUGGUAAUGCCGGAUGCUCCAUCACACCGCAUGGUGUGUUGGGAAAGCCUUUGCGGCAUGGGAUGGGGUCGCGUCCUAUCAGCUUGAUGGCGGGGUAACGGCCCACCAUGGCUUCGACGGGUAGCCGGCCUGAGAGGGCGACCGGCCACAUUGGGACUGAGAUACGGCCCAGACUCCUACGGGAGGCAGCAGUGGGGAAUAUUGCACAAUGGGCGCAAGCCUGAUGCAGCGACGCCGCGUGAGGGAUGGAGGCCUUCGGGUUGUAAACCUCUUUUGUUAGGGAGCAAGGCAUUUUGUGUUGAGUGUACCUUUCGAAUAAGCACCGGCUAACUACGUGCCAGCAGCCGCGGUAAUACGUAGGGUGCAAGCGUUAUCCGGAAUUAUUGGGCGUAAAGGGCUCGUAGGCGGUUCGUCGCGUCCGGUGUGAAAGUCCAUCGCUUAACGGUGGAUCCGCGCCGGGUACGGGCGGGCUUGAGUGCGGUAGGGGAGACUGGAAUUCCCGGUGUAACGGUGGAAUGUGUAGAUAUCGGGAAAGAACACCA